CCAAAACCCCAGAACAACACCAAAGCAGAAAAUACUCCUUUCUGUUUGAAAGAGCUCAAGUGAGCUCCCUUCGCCGGGCUGUUUCUUCGCCAACCGGCCACUAGGCUCUGAACCGAGAACGUGUACUCGUUCCUCCAUCUUCAGGCUACCAAACCCAACAAUCGAAAGGCCGAAGCCUUCUCUAUAUUUUCCUGACCAAAGGCCGCAAUAUCCUUCGGCGGCCAACGUCGAAUUCCCGACUUAGCCACCGGCCAACUUACGGCCUUCGUUUCUCACUAUCCUUACGACGAAAAAGGAUCGAGAAACCACCGUUGUGUAGCCUGAUCUACCUCGCACGAGGAAAACUAAGUCGUAGACCUUCGCGGCUAAACACCAUCGCGGAACGACGACCGGAAAACCCCCGACGAACAACUUCCAUUAGUGCUCACUUGGACAAGGGUUGAGCUGAUGUGAUGAUGGUGCUGCAAUGAGCGGAGUCUCCAGGGUUGUUAAUAAAUAGUUAACCUGUCUAGAAUAUGUCUUCAUACAUAUGUCUAGCUACUUUCCGCUGCAAGAUGUUGUUGAUGUUAUAGUAUGUUAUGUCAUACUUUGAGUCUUAAGAGAAUGGUUUCAUAUGAUGUAUAACUUGAUUAAUGCUAUUAAUUAAGUUUUAUGCUGUCUUUCAUAGACUA
Long non-coding RNA from Salvia miltiorrhiza (redroot sage), 671 nucleotides. RefSeq lists it as uncharacterized. The record is from RefSeq and is a predicted model, not a curated record. NCBI's taxonomy places the organism in Eukaryota, Viridiplantae, Streptophyta, Magnoliopsida, Lamiales, Lamiaceae. The transcript has 2 exons.